AAGCUCCCAUUCCAUUCCUCCAAGACCCUGGAUGCAAUGUAGUUCUGUGUCUGUGUACUUCUAAUGGUGGCCAUAAAUUUGCAACCUAUGGCCUAUUGUAGCAAAGCAUGCACCUUAUUAGAGACCAGAGUUGAAAAGACCAGCAGCCGGUAGCCACGAAAUCAGGGGGAGUUGAGGUCUCUAGACGUUGGUAAAUGGUGAUUUCUUGAUGCAUC
This 215-nucleotide long non-coding RNA is filed under the name Elaeis guineensis (African oil palm). Its description in RNAcentral is "long non-coding RNA (EGUI_LNC010897)". The record is from RNAcentral. Lineage: Eukaryota; Viridiplantae; Streptophyta; Magnoliopsida; Arecales; Arecaceae.